RNAcentral lists this ribosomal RNA (1372 nucleotides) under uncultured bacterium. RNAcentral describes it as "bacterial SSU rRNA". It matches the Rfam family "Bacterial small subunit ribosomal RNA", at positions 28 to 1381 of the family's 1533-position model. The record is from RNAcentral.
GAUGAACGCUGGCGGCGUGCCUAAUACAUGCAAGUCGAGCGAACGGACGAGAAGCUUGCUUCUCUGAUGUUAGCGGCGGACGGGUGAGUAACACGUGGAUAACCUACCUAUAAGACUGGGAUAACUUCGGGAAACCGGAGCUAAUACCGGAUAAUAUUUUGAACCGCAUGGUUCAAAAGUGAAAGACGGUCUUGCUGUCACUUAUAGAUGGAUCCGCGCUGCAUUAGCUAGUUGGUAAGGUAACGGCUUACCAAGGCAACGAUGCAUAGCCGACCUGAGAGGGUGAUCGGCCACACUGGAACUGAGACACGGUCCAGACUCCUACGGGAGGCAGCAGUAGGGAAUCUUCCGCAAUGGGCGAAAGCCUGACGGAGCAACGCCGCGUGAGUGAUGAAGGUCUUCGGAUCGUAAAACUCUGUUAUUAGGGAAGAACAUAUGUGUAAGUAACUGUGCACAUCUUGACGGUACCUAAUCAGAAAGCCACGGCUAACUACGUGCCAGCAGCCGCGGUAAUACGUAGGUGGCAAGCGUUAUCCGGAAUUAUUGGGCGUAAAGCGCGCGUAGGCGGUUUUUUAAGUCUGAUGUGAAAGCCCACGGCUCAACCGUGGAGGGUCAUUGGAAACUGGAAAACUUGAGUGCAGAAGAGGAAAGUGGAAUUCCAUGUGUAGCGGUGAAAUGCGCAGAGAUAUGGAGGAACACCAGUGGCGAAGGCGACUUUCUGGUCUGUAACUGACGCUGAUGUGCGAAAGCGUGGGGAUCAAACAGGAUUAGAUACCCUGGUAGUCCACGCCGUAAACAAUGAGUGCUAAGUGUUAGGGGGUUUCCGCCCCUUAGUGCUGCAGCUAACGCAUUAAGCACUCCGCCUGGGGAGUACGACCGCAAGGUUGAAACUCAAAGGAAUUGACGGAGACCCGCACAAGCGGUGGAGCAUGUGGUUUAAUUCGAAGCAACGCGAAGAACCUUACCAAAUCUUGACAUCCUUUGACAACUCUAGAGAUAGAGCUUUCCCCUUCGGGGGACAAAGUGACAGGUGGUGCAUGGUUGUCGUCAGCUCGUGUCAUGAGAUGUUGGGUUAAGUCCCGCAACGAGCGCAACCCUUAAGCUUAGUUGCCAUCAUUAAGUUGGGCACUCUAAGUUGACUGCCGGUGACAAACCGGAGGAAGGUGGGGAUGACGUCAAAUCAUCAUGCCCCUUAUGAUUUGGGCUACACACGUGCUACAAUGGACAAUACAAAGGGCAGCGAAACCGUGAGGUCAAGCAAAUCCCAUAAAGUUGUUCUCAGUUCGGAUUGUAGUCUGCAACUCGACUACAUGAAGCUGGAAUCGCUAGUAAUCGUAGAUCAGCAUGCUACGGUGAAUACGUUCCCGGGUCU